This is a long non-coding RNA of Beta vulgaris subsp. vulgaris (sugar beet), 903 nucleotides long. RefSeq lists it as uncharacterized. The transcript is spliced from 4 exons. The record is from RefSeq and is a predicted model, not a curated record. Lineage: Eukaryota; Viridiplantae; Streptophyta; Magnoliopsida; Caryophyllales; Amaranthaceae.
CACUUUCUACACGUAAAACGUAAAAUAGAAACUGCAAACCCUUUUCUUUUACAAACCGUACUUUUCAUUUUCUGUAACUGAACUCUAAUGUACAUAACCACUUGCUUGCACCUCUGAUUUCCCCUUCAGUUUCCAGAUGAGGCUUUGUCCCUCACAGUCACAGUCUCAGUUUCAUUCUAGAAGACAACGUGGAUAUAUUCAUCAAAAUUCGCAACUUCAUCCUGCCCAGUAAUUCAGUAAAUCGUUUUGGGAGAAAUCGACAACCAUAUUUGCCAUUCUUAACAACAAUUUACAGAUCAAGUUGACAAAAGGUUUCGUAGCCAAGGAGCCAGUGAAAGGGAACAUGGCGAGUUCUUCUUUCGAAAGUUUAAAAUCUUUUAGUUAAUAGACUUAUAUAUCUUAGAGAAUGAAAAAAUGCUAUGAACGAAAGGGGUUCAUAUUGAUUUCAAAGUCUGAACUCCUAGCUGCUGGUCAAAAUGGAGAUCUCUUAGGUGGUACAUAUGUUUUGUUUAACAAACAGAUGAAGGCGAAUAAAAGGGAGCAAAUUCAGCUUGGGGUUCCAAUAUUUGGACAAAUAAAAGAUGACACUAUGAGAAAAUUGAUGAACUCAAGGAGUUGUGGAUUACAUAUGUCGGAGAUCAACACAAAGCACAAAUGAUGAAUGAGUUCUAACUUUCUGCCUAAUUUUUUAACUUAAUCCACUUUUGGACAUACAUUAUAUUUUUGGAUUUGGAUAUUGAUAUCAUGUAGAUGUGGCUAUAGGAUAGAUUUGAUCUUGUUUAUGAUUUAGAUUACUAUUGAUAUGUAUAUAUAGUAGUUUUUUUUAGAAGUUUAGACUUAUGAAUAUUAGUUGAAUUAUUUUGUGAUAUAAAAUUUUUUUGAAGUUUGGAAUAUGAUAUUCAA